Molecule: long non-coding RNA, 230 nt
Organism: Rhagoletis zephyria (snowberry fruit fly)
Lineage: Eukaryota; Metazoa; Arthropoda; Insecta; Diptera; Tephritidae
Source: RefSeq, a predicted model, not a curated record
AAUCCGUUCAGUCGUUUCCGCGUAUUAAUUUAAUUAAACUUUUUUAACAGGUGGCAACUCUUCCAAAAAAUUAGCUUAUUUUACACUGUAGAUCAUAAGCUAGGUAUCUGCUUUCAAAAUUUUCUGCAAAUCUAUUCAGUCGUUUCCGCGUAUUAAUUUAAUUAAACUUUUUUAACAGGUGGCAACUCUUCCAAAAAAUUAGCUUAUUUUACACUGUAGAUCAUAAGCUA